AUGAAAACUCAGGUCGAGAUGCUGAAACCGGCAACUUUGGACGCGGCUAUGGACUUAGCCAUCUCUUUUGAACACCUCAAUACCGGCACCGGCACCGCGGCCACCCCUGGCCGGCCCAGCCGGCCACUCCGCCCCAUGGCCGCACCUACUCCGGCCUUACCAGACACCUCCAACCCCACGCCCGCGCUCGUCUUCAAAAGACUCACGCCGGCCGAGAUGGAUGAACGGCGCGCUAAGGGUCUCUGUUUCAAUUGUGACGAGAAGUUCACGCGGGGCCAUCGCUACAAACGGCUGUUCUACAUUUAG
Molecule: ribosomal RNA, 306 nt
Filed under: Triticum aestivum (bread wheat)
Lineage: Eukaryota; Viridiplantae; Streptophyta; Magnoliopsida; Poales; Poaceae
Description: partial small subunit ribosomal RNA
Source: RNAcentral